RNAcentral lists this ribosomal RNA (497 nucleotides) under uncultured bacterium. RNAcentral describes it as "partial 16S ribosomal RNA". It matches the Rfam family "Bacterial small subunit ribosomal RNA", at positions 28 to 507 of the family's 1533-position model. The record is from RNAcentral.
GAUGAACGCUGGCGGCGUGCCUAAUACAUGCAAGUCGAGCGAACGGACGAGAAGCUUGCUUCUCUGAUGUUAGCGGCGGACGGGUGAGUAACACGUGGAUAACCUACCUAUAAGACUGGGAUAACUUCGGGAAACCGUAGCUAAUACCGGAUAAUAUUUUGAACCGCAUGGUUCAAAAGUGAAAGACGGUCUUGCUGUCACUUAUAGAUGGAUCCGCGCUGCAUUAGCUAGUUGGUAAGGUAACGGCUUACCAAGGCAACGAUGCAUAGCCGACCUGAGAGGGAGAUCGGCCAGACUGGAACAGAGACAGGGUCCAGACUCCUACGGGAAGCAGCAGUAGGGAAUCCUCCGCGAUGGGCGAAAGCCGGACGGAGCAACGCCGCGUGAGUGAUGAAGGUCUUCGGAUCGUAAAACUCUGUUAUUAGUGAAGAACAAAUGUGUAAGUAACUGGGCACAUCUUGACGGUACCUAAUCAGAAAGCCACGGCUAACUACGUG